Molecule: non-coding RNA, 94 nt
Organism: Mycena amicta
Lineage: Eukaryota; Fungi; Basidiomycota; Agaricomycetes; Agaricales; Mycenaceae
Source: the annotation of a GenBank genome assembly
GGCAUGAUGGCCGAGUGGUUUAAGGCGUGAGCCUUGAAUUUUCGUCAAUAGCUCAUGGGCUAUGCCCGCGUAGGUUCGAACCCUGCUCAUGUCG